RNAcentral lists this ribosomal RNA (253 nucleotides) under uncultured bacterium. Its description in RNAcentral is "partial 16S ribosomal RNA". It matches the Rfam family "Bacterial small subunit ribosomal RNA", at positions 524 to 776 of the family's 1533-position model. The record is from RNAcentral.
GACGUAGGGCGCGAGCGUGUCCGGAUUUAUUGGGCGUAAAGAGCUCGUAGGCGGUUCGUCGCGUCGGCUGUGAAAACCUGAGGCUCAACCUCAGGCCUGCAGUCGAUACGGGCGGACUUGAGUACUGCAGGGGAGACUGGAAUUCCUGGUGUAGCGGUGAAAUGCGCAGAUAUCAGGAGGAACACCGGUGGCGAAGGCGGGUCUCUGGGCAGUAACUGACGCUGAGGAGCGAAAGCCGUGGGGAGCGAACAGG